This is a non-coding RNA of Phalacrocorax carbo (great cormorant), 3340 nucleotides long. Lineage: Eukaryota; Metazoa; Chordata; Aves; Suliformes; Phalacrocoracidae. The record is from RefSeq and is a predicted model, not a curated record.
CCCCCUCAAGGGCUUGGGUGCAGAGAGCAGCUGCACAAACCCUGUCCCUGCAGGGAGGAGCAGUGGUGGGGAAACAUCCACGUCAGGCUUUUCCAGGGGUGGCCUGGCCAUUUAGGAUGCCCGGCCGUUAGGGCAGGGGCUGAAAGUCUUGCUCUUCAUGGCAGGGAGCAAAGCCUCACGGACCUGCAACGCCCUCGACGCCUUCGCACCCGGAGCCUCGCGCCGACCUGAGCCCAGGGGAGCAGAUACAGCAGCGGGGCUUAACCAACCCCCCAGGCUCCUGCCAGGGCGACCGAUGCUCCCAGCCAGGCUCGCCAGGAGCGAUCCGGCACGGCUGCCUCCCCGGGACGAGCUCCCGGCCUCCGCGCCCUUCGCAGAGCGCCGCGCAGGCACGCCGGGCUGCAGGGCUGGCUGCUUUUUUCCUUCGAGGAAUAGGCAACGUCGCCUCAAUAUUUGCAGAAAAUGCUGCUAUUGCAAAGGGAAAAGGCAUCCUCGCGUUUGCUUAAUCAGCGUUUACCUUCGGCGACACGGAGGGAAAAUAAAUGCCUUGGGAUCAAAGCAGCUCUCCGCCGCAGAAUUAGGAGCACAAAGGUGUCGGCAACGCGGCGCAGAUGAGUGCUUGCUGGGUCUGACAAGGGCUCCGCGCCCCGCACCGGCUCAGGGGGGAAAGGUUACGGUCCGGCAAGGACAAGACACCCGGCUGGAACGGCUGAGCUGGGACCACCAAAACAGCACCGGGCGGGGAGAGAAAACCCAGCCGCCGGGAGAAAUGGGAAAUGGUUUCCCAGCCGGCCCGGCGGACAGAAGAUGCAGGACUCCACAUCUCCCCACGCCCCGGGGUCUCGCCUGCGCCACGCGUCGCCUCUCCGGGCUCCAUCGCCACGGCCCUGGCCGGACUGGGGCGCCUGAGCCCGUGGGGCCGGGGCCGGGAGGGCCGAAGCAAGCAGGGGUGCCGUGUUGUCCAUCCAGCCCUCCUUCCCCGGGGCCAUCCCUCCCUCCCUCUUCUCCUCCACCUUCCUCACCGCUCAUCCCCACCUCUCCCUGUGCUGCGGAGGGGGACAGCCCGGCGUCUCCCUGCCAAACCACGAAGCGGGACUCUUUACGCAGGUUUGGUUUUCCGGGUCCCGUUUCAGACGCGCGCGUUGGCGUCGCCGCAUCCGAAGUCCUGCCCUGGCCGGGAAGGACAUCGCCGGCUCGCCGCGGCCCGGAGAGACGCCGGAGAGAUGCACCGGCGGCCAGAGUUAAGGGUAAAAGGGAGCCGAACCCUCCAGGGCCGGGGUCGGGGGUGGCUGCCUCGGUGCGUGCCGCCCUCCCCGCCCUGACGUCUUGACACGCGGAUAAAAGCCGAGCCGAAGGGACGAUUUCACGGAGAUUAACCUCGCGCGCUGCGCUGGGGCCGCCGCCGCCCUCGGCACCGGGUCCCCCGUGUAUCACGGGCGGAUUACAGAUAUAUUAGCCCCGCCACCGGUUUUAUUAGCGGCGGUUUAUCACGCGGAGGGGGGACGGCCACGGGCAGGGGCCGGAGGAGCCUGGCCACCUUCUGGGAACCCAGAGCCUCACCAUAGAGCCUUUAAUUGGAUUUCUGGGAGAGAACCCUGGCUGGGGUCGGUGUUCUUUGCCUGGCCCCGGUACGGCCCGGCUCCCCGAGGUUUGCGGUGCUGAUAGGCGACGCCUGCGGUGCCCGCGGCGAGGGAGGGGGGAAGCCUUCGGCCUCGCCGCGGGCAGAGCUGCCCCCCUGCACCACCCUGGGCUGGGUUAGAGAGAUGUGAUUCAACAAAAAGAAUCACUCUGCUGGCUUCCGCAGGGGAUGGUGAUGCUGGUGGUGUCGCAGCCGGGCGCAUCCCUCCCCACCCCGCGCAAAAUCUCCCCCAGGCCUGAGGAAUUCACCUCCCUGGACCCAAAAAUUCGCCAAACUGGACCCAAAAAUUGGCCUCCCUGGACCCAAACCUCCGAAGGCCGAGCAUCCCCACGCGGCGCAGGGGUACCCAACCCCGAGGGGGCUCAGGCGAGUGCCGGGAUGCCCGGCAUCGCUGCGGCGAGUCACGUCGGGGCGGGGGGAGGAUUUGAGCCUGAAAGAGGUUAAAGUGGGGCAAAGCGGGGAGGGGGGGGAAGAGAAACCUCCCGAACGAACGGGGCGUUUUAAUGACAUUCCAUUAAAGCUCCCUUUGGGGCCGGCGCGGCCGCCAUGUGCUCCACAUUCUCAUGGUAAUUAUGAGACAUCUGUAUAGAGGCUCUUUUCUCAUCAAAGAUGGCUCUCUUCAAAGACGCUCCUGGGAAACCCUUCACCUCUGACCCGGGGGGUCACCGCCGAAACACUGCCUCUAUAGUGCGCCUUACUGUAAAGCCCGCUUGGCUCCCCGGCUCUGAUUGACUGUGACUGACAGCUCUGCCCAUCGUCUGCGGCUCCCGCUCGCUUCAUGGAUACAAUUGGGAUUUUUAUAAAGCCUCCGCGUCCAGCUGGGGGGGGGGGGUUGAACCCCCCCGUGGGGUCCCAGCGCCCCACCCCCCGGGACAAUAACUUUUCCCCGUGGCCUUUUCCAGCUCGCCCUUGAAUCACGGCCCGUGUCCCGCGCGGGGUUUGGGUAAAAUAUCCCCGCGGAGGUUAUUUAUGGGGGGGUGAAACGGGGCCGGGCGGGGGGGGGGCGGCUGCGAAAGGCCAUUUCUGACUGUUCGCUAAUGGGCUGGUGAAAACCGGCCAUAAACCAGCCCCAGCCCCCCCCGUGCUGGGGGCCGGACUGGGACCGGACUGGGGGGCUUACUGGGAUCAGACUGGGGGGCUUGCUGGGAUCAGACUGGGGGCUUACUGGGACCAUGCUGGGAUCAGACUGGGGGGCUUGCUGGGAUCAUACUGGGGGGCUUGCUGGGAUCAGACUGGGGGCUUACUGGGCUCAGACUGGGGGGCUUACUGGGAUCACACUGGGACCGUGCUGGGAUCAGACUGGGGCUGCAACUGGGACAAACCAGGGGGCCAUACUGGGCUCCAGCUGGGACUGCACUGGGACCUCACUGGGAGCUCAUCCUGGUGGGUCCGUACUGGGAGCAGGAGAGGCCCGCACUGGGAGUGAACUGGGAGCAUCCCAUGGACCGCACUGGGGGUGGAUGAGGCUGAACUGGGACGCCCCGUGCCCAUACUGGGAGGCCUGGCCGCCGUCGCUUUUCCUUCCGGCCCAAUUCCAGCCAAAAACAUUCUUAAAAAAAAGCAUCAAAUUCUCUUUUUUUUUUAACAAGAUCAAUUUUACGCCCCGCCCCCGCCCCGAGCGCGCCGGUAACUGGGGAGCCAUCGGGAAAUGAAGAAUAUGAAUGAAAAAAAUGAAAAAUAAAGAAAAAAUGAAAAAAAAAA